GACGAACGCUGGCGGCGUGCUUAACACAUGCAAGUCGAGCGGUAAGGCCCCUUCGGGGGUACACGAGCGGCGAACGGGUGAGUAACACGUGGGUGACCUGCCCUCAGCUCUGGGAUAAGCCCGGGAAACUGGGUCUAAUACCGGAUAUGACCUGCUGUUGCAUGACAGCGGGUGGAAAGUUUUUCGGCGGAGGAUGGGCCCGCGGCCUAUCAGCUUGUUGGUGGGGGGAUGGCCUACCAAGGCGACGACGGGUAGCCGGCCUGAGAGGGGGACAGGCAGCACUGGUACUGAGAUACGGCCCAGACUCGUACGGGAGGCAGCAGUGGGGAAUAUUGCGCAAUGGGCGAAAGCCUGACGCAGCGACGCCGCGUGGGGGAUGACGGCCUUCGGGUUGUAAACCUCUUUCGACCGGGACGAAGGGUAACUGACGGUACCGGUAGAAGAAGCACCGGCCAACUACGUGCCAGCAGCCGCAGUAA
RNAcentral lists this ribosomal RNA (479 nucleotides) under uncultured bacterium. RNAcentral's name for it is "partial 16S ribosomal RNA". It matches the Rfam family "Bacterial small subunit ribosomal RNA", at positions 28 to 523 of the family's 1533-position model. The record is from RNAcentral.